This 732-nucleotide ribosomal RNA is filed under the name uncultured bacterium. Its description in RNAcentral is "bacterial SSU rRNA". It matches the Rfam family "Bacterial small subunit ribosomal RNA", at positions 771 to 1501 of the family's 1533-position model. The record is from RNAcentral.
AACAGGAUUAGAUACCCUGGUAGUCCACGCCCUAAACGAUGUCAACUAGUUGUUGGUAGAGUAAAAUCUAUGAGUAACGCAGCUAACGCGUGAAGUUGACCGCCUGGGGAGUACGAUCGCAAGAUUAAAACUCAAAUGAAUUGACGGGGGCCCGCACAAGCGGUGGAUUAUGUGGAUUAAUUCGAUGCAACGCGAAAAACCUUACCUGGCCUUGACAUGUACCGAAUUUACCAGAGAUGGUUUAGUGCUCGAAAGAGAACGGUAACACAGGUGCUGCAUGGCUGUCGUCAGCUCGUGUCGUGAGAUGUUGGGUUAAGUCCCGCAACGAGCGCAACCCUUGCCAAUAAUUGCCAUCAUUUAGUUGGGCACUUUAUUGGGACUGCCGAUGACAAAUCGGAGGAAGGUGGGGAUGACGUCAAGUCCUCAUGGCCCUUAUGGCCAGGGCUUCACACGUAAUACAAUGGUCGGUACAGAGGGUCGCCAACCCGCGAGGGGGAGCUAAUCCCAGAAAGCCGAUCGUAGUCCGGAUUGUUCUCUGCAACUCGAGAGCAUGAAGUCGGAAUCGCUAGUAAUCGCGGAUCAGCAUGUCGCGGUGAAUACGUUCCCGGGCCUUGUACACACCGCCCGUCACACCAUGGGAGUGGGUUUUACCAGAAGUAGGUAGUCUAACCGCAAGGGGGGCGCUUACCACGGUAGUAUUCAUGACUGGGGUGAAGUCGUAACAAGGUAACC